CUCUACGGCCAUACCACCCUGAAUGAGCCCGACCCAGUCUGAUCUCGGAAGCUAAGCAGGGUCGGGCUUGGUUAGUACUUGGAUGGGAGACCACCUAGGAAGACCAGGUGCUGUAAGCA
Pteropus alecto (black flying fox) is the source of this 119-nucleotide non-coding RNA. Lineage: Eukaryota; Metazoa; Chordata; Mammalia; Chiroptera; Pteropodidae. The record is from Rfam.